GUUUUGCACAAGGGAUAGUAGCGAAAAUCCUUUUUUAUCUCGUUUUUAGGACGAGACUAAAAAGAUUGAAGCGAAUAGCCCGACCCGCU
This 89-nucleotide small RNA is filed under the name Flavobacterium degerlachei. RNAcentral's name for it is "Flavo-1 RNA". It matches the Rfam family "Flavo-1 RNA". Lineage: Bacteria; Pseudomonadati; Bacteroidota; Flavobacteriia; Flavobacteriales; Flavobacteriaceae. The record is from RNAcentral.